UCCCGGCCUCGGCCUCCGCCGCAGCAGCUACAGGGUAUUCGCCCGGGCCCAACCCCUCCGUCCCGCCCUCAACCCCAGCCCCACGCACGGGCCAAACUUUCCCUUCUCCCUCCACCUGCCGACACGCAGCGCGCUGACGUCACCGCGCCGGGCAGGCCCAGCCGUGGCCCCGCCUCCGGCCGCCAUCUCAAGUGUGGCUGCGCAGGCACCCGAGCUAGCAAGAAUCCCGUGAAGUUCUGGAGUCUGGGAAGUCUAAGAUCAAGAUGCUGGCUGAUCUGUUGUCUGGGCAGGCAUAUAGUGUACGUACAGUCGGCUCUUCAGUCAAGCUAGAUAGACCCUGACCACUAGCAGUGCAGCAGGAAAUGGAGGCCUUUGUGACAGGAGCAGCAGUGAUCCAAGGCAAAGCAUGGGUGCCACAUUCCACAGCAAAAUGGACAGGACCCACAGUAGAGUGAAGAGGAGACCAGGAGCAGAUUGGGACUGUGGUUGGAUAAACUCUGCAGGGGGCUUGCAACAAACCCAUUUUCUAAAUUAGGACCUCCUGGUUGCUAGUGCCAGAAAACCCAAACUGCAUUAGGCUGCUUGCAUUCCUGCCAUAA
This is a long non-coding RNA of Canis lupus familiaris (dog), 599 nucleotides long. RefSeq lists it as uncharacterized. The record is from RefSeq and is a predicted model, not a curated record. NCBI's taxonomy places the organism in Eukaryota, Metazoa, Chordata, Mammalia, Carnivora, Canidae. The transcript is spliced from 3 exons.